Molecule: ribosomal RNA, 492 nt
Filed under: uncultured bacterium
Lineage: Bacteria
Description: partial 16S ribosomal RNA
Rfam family: Bacterial small subunit ribosomal RNA
Source: RNAcentral
AGUGAACGCUGGCGGUAGGCCUAACACAUGCAAGUCGAACGGCAGCACAGUAAGAGCUUGCUCUUACGGGUGGCGAGUGGCGGACGGGUGAGGAAUACAUCGGAUUCUACUUUUUCGUGGGGGAUAACGUAGGGAAACUUACGCUAAUACCGCAUACGACCUACGGGUGAAAGCAGGGGAUCUUCGGACCUUGCGCGAUUGAAUGAGCCGAUGUCGGAUUAGCUAGUUGGCGGGGUAAAGGCCCACCAAGGCGACGAUCCGUAGCUGGUCUGAGAGGAUGAUCAGCCACACUGGAACUGAGACACGGUCCAGACUCCUACGGGAGGCAGCAGUGGGGAAUAUUGGACAAUGGGCGCAAGCCUGAUCCAGCCAUACCGCGUGGGUGAAGAAGGCCUUCGGGUUGUAAAGCCCUUUUGUUGGGAAAGAAAAGCAGCAGGUUAAUACCCCGCUGUUCUGACGGUACCCAAAGAGUAAGCACCGGCUAACUUCGUG